This 452-nucleotide ribosomal RNA is filed under the name Prevotella sp. oral taxon 298. RNAcentral's name for it is "bacterial SSU rRNA". It matches the Rfam family "Bacterial small subunit ribosomal RNA", at positions 28 to 467 of the family's 1533-position model. Lineage: Bacteria; Pseudomonadati; Bacteroidota; Bacteroidia; Bacteroidales; Prevotellaceae. The record is from RNAcentral.
GAUGAACGCUAGCUACAGGCUUAACACAUGCAAGUCGAGGGGAAACGGCAUUAAGUGCUUGCACUUUUUGGACGUCGACCGGCGCACGGGUGAGUAACGCGUAUCCAACCUUCCCAUGACUAAGGGAUAACCUGCCGAAAGGCAGACUAAUACCUUAUGGUCUUCACUGACGGCAUCAGAUGUGAAGUAAAGAUUUAUCGGUUAUGGAUGGGGAUGCGUCUGAUUAGCUUGUUGGCGGGGUAACGGCCCACCAAGGCAACGAUCAGUAGGGGUUCUGAGAGGAAGGUCCCCCACAUUGGAACUGAGACACGGUCCAAACUCCUACGGGAGGCAGCAGUGAGGAAUAUUGGUCAAUGGGCGAGAGCCUGAACCAGCCAAGUAGCGUGCAGGAUGACGGCCCUAUGGGUUGUAAACUGCUUUUGUAUGGGGAUAAAGUCAGUCACGUGUGAUUG